AGAGUUUGAUCCUGGCUCAGGACGAACGCUGGCGGCGUGCCUAAUACAUGCAAGUAGAACGCUGAAGGGAGGAGCUUGCUCUUUCCGGAUGAGUUGCGAACGGGUGAGUAACGCGUAGGUAACCUGCCUGGUAGCGGGGGAUAACUAUUGGAAACGAUAGCUAAUACCGCAUAACAGUAGAUAUCGCAUGAUAGCUGCUUGAAAGGUGCAAUUGCACCACUACCAGAUGGACCUGCGUUGUAUUAGCUAGUUGGUGGGGUAACGGCUCACCAAGGCAACGAUACAUAGCCGACCUGAGAGGGUGAUCGGCCACACUGGGACUGAGACACGGCCCAGACUCCUACGGGAGGCAGCAGUAGGGAAUCUUCGGCAAUGGACGGAAGUCUGACCGAGCAACGCCGCGUGAGUGAAGAAGGUUUUCGGAUCGUAAAGCUCUGUUGUAAGAGAAGAACGAGUGUGAGAGUGGAAAGUUCACACUGUGACGGUAUCUUACCAGAAAGGGACGGCUAACUACGUGCCAGCAGCCGCGGUAAUACGUAGGUCCCGAGCGUUGUCCGGAUUUAUUGGGCGUAAAGCGAGCGCAGGCGGUUAGAUAAGUCUGAAGUUAAAGGCUGUGGCUUAACCAUAGUACGCUUUGGAAACUGUUUAACUUGAGUGCAAGAGGGGAGAGUGGAAUUCCAUGCGUACCGGUGAAAUGCGUAGAUAUAUGGAGGAACACACGGUGGCGAAAGACGGCUCUACUGGCUUGUAACUGACGCUGAGGCUCGAAAGCGUGGGGAGCAAACAGGAUUAGAUCCCCUGGUAG
RNAcentral lists this ribosomal RNA (805 nucleotides) under uncultured bacterium. RNAcentral describes it as "bacterial SSU rRNA". It matches the Rfam family "Bacterial small subunit ribosomal RNA", at positions 8 to 793 of the family's 1533-position model. The record is from RNAcentral.